AUUGAACGCUAGCGGGAUGCCUUACACAUGCAAGUCGAACGGCAGCGCGGACUUCGGUCUGGCGGCGAGUGGCGAACGGGUGAGUAAUGUAUCGGAACGUGCCCAGUAGCGGGGGAUAACUACUCGAAAGAGUAGCUAAUACCGCAUACGCCCUACGGGGGAAAGGGGGGGAUCGCAAGACCUCUCACUAUUGGAGCGGCCGAUAUCGGAUUAGCUAGUUGGUGAGGUAAAGGCUCACCAAGGCGACGAUCCGUAGCUGGUUUGAGAGGACGACCAGCCACACUGGGACUGAGACACGGCCCAGACUCCUACGGGAGGCAGCAGUGGGGAAUUUUGGACAAUGGGGGAAACCCUGAUCCAGCCAUUCCGCGUGUGCGAUGAAGGCCUUCGGGUUGUAAAGCACUUUUGGCAGGAAAGAAAUCGCAUCAAUUAAUACUUGGUGUGGAUGACGGUACCUGCAGAAUAAGCACCGGCUAACUACGUGCCAGCAGCCGCCGUAA
Molecule: ribosomal RNA, 500 nt
Filed under: uncultured bacterium
Lineage: Bacteria
Description: partial 16S ribosomal RNA
Rfam family: Bacterial small subunit ribosomal RNA
Source: RNAcentral